Molecule: ribosomal RNA, 1082 nt
Filed under: Salmonella enterica
Lineage: Bacteria; Pseudomonadati; Pseudomonadota; Gammaproteobacteria; Enterobacterales; Enterobacteriaceae
Description: partial 23S ribosomal RNA
Rfam family: Bacterial large subunit ribosomal RNA
Source: RNAcentral
AGACCCGAAACCCGGUGAUCUAGCCAUGGGCAGGUUGAAGGUUGGGUAACACUAACUGGAGGACCGAACCGACUAAUGUUGAAAAAUUAGCGGAUGACCUGUGGCUGGGGGUGAAAGGCCAAUCAAACCGGGAGAUAGCUGGUUCUCCCCGAAAGCUAUUUAGGUAGCGCCUCGUGAAUUCAUCUCCGGGGGUAGAGCACUGUUUCGGCUAGGGGGCCAUCCCGGCUUACCAACCCGAUGCAAACUGCGAAUACCGGAGAAUGUUAUCACGGGAGACACACGGCGGGUGCUAACGUCCGUCGUGAAGAGGGAAACAACCCAGACCGCCAGCUAAGGUCCCAAAGUCAUGGUUAAGUGGGAAACGAUGUGGGAAGGCCCAGACAGCCAGGAUGUUGGCUUAGAAGCAGCCAUCAUUUAAAGAAAGCGUAAUAGCUCACUGGUCGAGUCGGCCUGCGCGGAAGAUGUAACGGGGCUAAACCAUGCACCGAAGCUGCGGCAGCGACGCUUAUGCGUUGUUGGGUAGGGGAGCGUUCUGUAAGCCUGUGAAGGUGGCCUGUGAGGGUUGCUGGAGGUAUCAGAAGUGCGAAUGCUGACAUAAGUAACGAUAAAGCGGGUGAAAAGCCCGCUCGCCGGAAGACCAAGGGUUCCUGUCCAACGUUAAUCGGGGCAGGGUGAGUCGACCCCUAAGGCGAGGCCGAAAGGCGUAGUCGAUGGGAAACGGGUUAAUAUUCCCGUACUUGGUGUUACUGCGAAGGGGGGACGGAGAAGGCUAUGUUGGCCGGGCGACGGUUGUCCCGGUUUAAGCGUGUAGGUGUGUGUUCCAGGUAAAUCCGGUUCACUUUAACACUGAGGCGUGAUGACGAGGCACUACGGUGCUGAAGUAACAAAUGCCCUGCUUCCAGGAAAAGCCUCUAAGCAUCAGGUAACAUCAAAUCGUACCCCAAACCGACACAGGUGGUCAGGUAGAGAAUACCAAGGCGCUUGAGAGAACUCGGGUGAAGGAACUAGGCAAAAUGGUGCCGUAACUUCGGGAGAAGGCACGCUGACACGUAGGUGAAGUGAUUUACUCAUGGAGCUGAAGU